ACUUAAAUAAUUUAAAUAAUAAAAUAUUGAUUUGUGGUAUCAAAUAUAUGAAUUAGUUCAUUUUAAGUU
This 69-nucleotide transfer RNA is filed under the name Cochylimorpha cultana. RNAcentral describes it as "tRNA-His". Lineage: Eukaryota; Metazoa; Arthropoda; Insecta; Lepidoptera; Tortricidae. The record is from RNAcentral.